GCUAUUUCCCAUAGUUCUUGAACGCCACAUUAGACUUGGCAAACCACGCCCCUUUCUGCAGACACACUGAACUCAGCUGCUGGAGAGACGAGCCGACGCAGAGAAGCCAAAGAUCCUUGGUUGCACAGUUAAGAUCUGGUGUUCUUCCUCUGGCCUUCGAGGUUGGUGGAUUCAAGAAUAUUCCAGAAGAAAACAGACUCUUUUCCUUACAUGAAUGAUCAUGCUGUGGGCUCUGACCCUGGACUGCAUGAAAUUCAUGGUGUCUUGUCAGAGGAUAGAGGCUGUAAUAGACAACUUUCUGUGAUGCAUCAAGGUGACAGCUCGAUGGAAAGGCUAACUGGAAAAUGCAGCCCCCCAACCAUCGAGCUACCCCCUGGCUCUGGUGCCCCACUGUGGGACUGUCGACACAUCUCAUACAUGCAGGGAUAAUGGGAUUGCAGAGCUUCAAAGACUAACCACAGGCUUGGAGAAGGCCGCCCCCUGCCGCCACUGAGGACAACUACACUAAUACAGACAAGAGCGCCUCAACAGUUACACACUCAAGAGUUGGGGUUUUGCCGUAUGCAACUAGCUACCAUCUCCAACGCUUGUGCAAAACAGAAAGAAAACUGGCAAGUCAGGAGCCGGACACGAGGGUGAACGGUGUGCCGAGAGCCAGAGAGACCCGCGGCGAUGGAAAGAGAAAGAGGAUGGGAUCACGUCGCCCACAGAGCCUCUCACCUCGACACAUUGAGCAGAGGGACUGAAGUUUGCCAAUAUGGCUGCUUUCAGGAAGUCACCCCCUCGGAGCUCUCCCUGUGGUGAAGCUUGAGGGAUCUCCUGCAUUGCACUGAAGGAGACACCAACCACAGCUUGAACCACCCCUCGGAUAAAUUCAGGUAAACUAGUCUAUGCAGCAGAGUGGAUGAGGAACACAAAAUAUCUCUCAGGGAAGAGGAAGCAGAAAAAAGGUCAAGGAAGAAGUCAUCAUCUUUGAAAAGGCGGAGGGAGGAAGUCACGUGAUGAAAAAAGAUGGGGACAGGUCUUCGCUCAGGCACGGCUCGGUUUCUGAUGGGGUCUCUUCCCAGUGCGCCCUGGGAAGUGCGGUCCUCAGCUCUCCAGACUCAUGAAGGCCACCACCUGCUCCAGCUUGAAGGCCAGCCUCUGUUUCCUGGCUCCAUCGUCCUGCUCCAGUGAGCACACAAUCUGCAGGCAGGACAGAGAGGUAAACACAAACACACGUUACUCUCAGGAUUCAGAGACACACAACUGCAGCUAGUAUGUUAGACUCUGGUUGUGUGAUAACUAAUCUAAGGUAUAACAAGAUAACAAGAUGAUGCAUUCAAGUUAUUAAAGUGUUUCUUUUACAUGUUUAGAGUCUUGUAACAAGUGUUAGUAGUAAUAGGUCAACUAUUACUUCAAAGUAUAUUAAAAGCAUCCUUAACAUGUCAUUGAGACAUUUAUAAACACUCUUUAAAAUUCAGUUCAGAGAAGUCUGUUUAGAAGAGAUGAAAUUGUACUCAUCAUCCUGAGAUAAACACUAGUCAGGCUUUUUUAAGAUGUAUACAUGCAUAGUUAAAGUUGCAGUUAACUCUAAAACAAGAGUGAUACCAAGUUGGAGACAUUUUUCAGGCAUUUUGUCUUCACAUAUAGUUGCAGUAGUGGCUGAAAAAGAGGCUCCUUGGUCAGAUUUGAAUCAGGAUCCCUGGUUUAAGAGCUCAACAUCUAAACCCCUUAGCUACUGAAACUGUGUUUCUUGUGAGUUGACUAAGAGCAGAGUAGAAUAAGAACUUCUUGAGGUCAAGGUUCAUGAAUUGUGAAGAUAAAAUGACGGGUAAAUCCACAAUUUCAAAAAGCAGAUAAAAGAAAAUCUACUCAUGUACUUCACUUAAGUUGUCAAGCUUGAGGCUUAAUGGAAGGAGAGAGUUAGUAAGACUUUAAAAUGUCUGUUACGUUAGAGAAUCAAAAGGCAUUCUGUCAAGUAGUUCAACAAACAAUUAUGAUGUUCUUUUAUAUUUUAUGAAAUGAAUAAAAAGCUAUAACAGAAA
Molecule: long non-coding RNA, 2027 nt
Organism: Notolabrus celidotus (New Zealand spotty)
Lineage: Eukaryota; Metazoa; Chordata; Actinopteri; Labriformes; Labridae
Exons: 7
Source: RefSeq, a predicted model, not a curated record